RNAcentral lists this ribosomal RNA (230 nucleotides) under uncultured bacterium. RNAcentral's name for it is "partial 16S ribosomal RNA". It matches the Rfam family "Bacterial small subunit ribosomal RNA", at positions 524 to 753 of the family's 1533-position model. The record is from RNAcentral.
UACGGAGGGAGCUAGCGUUGUUCGGAUAUACUGGGCGUAAAGCGCACGUAGGCGGCGCAGCAAGUCGGGGGUGAAAUCCCAGAGCUCAACUCUGGAACUGCCUUUGAUACUGGGUAUCUUGAGUAUGGAAGAGGUAAGUGGAAUUGCGAGUGUAGAGGUGAAAUUCGUAGAUAUUCGCAGGAACACCAGUGGCGAAGGCGGCUUACUGGUCCAUUACUGACGCUGAGGUG